RNAcentral lists this ribosomal RNA (253 nucleotides) under uncultured bacterium. Its description in RNAcentral is "partial 16S ribosomal RNA". It matches the Rfam family "Bacterial small subunit ribosomal RNA", at positions 524 to 776 of the family's 1533-position model. The record is from RNAcentral.
AACGUAGGAGGCAAGCGUUAUCCGGAUUUACUGGGCGUAAAGCGCGUGCAGGCGGUUCGGCAAGUUGGAUGUGAAAGCUCCUGGCUUAACUAGGAGAGGUCGUUCAAUACUACCGAACUUGAGGGCAUCAGAGGAAGGUGGAAUUCCCGGUGUAGUGGUGAAAUGCGUAGAUAUCGGGAGGAACACCAGUGGCGAAAGCGACCUUCUGGGAUGUUCCUGACGCUCAGAAGCGAAAGCUAGGGUAGCAAACGGG